CCCCACUCACUCCCUUCACCUUCAGCCGUUGGGUUUCCCCCCCGCGCCCGGUCAAGCGUGUGCGUGCGUGACAGGCGCGCCCGCGGGACCGGAUUGAGCGGGAACAGGAAAAUAACCGCCCGCAGGGGCCGGGGCGCCGGCAAGGACCUCCGCCUGAGUGGGAACCGCGCGGGCGCCGGUGCCGGGAAUUGGUUAGACUGGCUAACAACGUAAUGCAG
Molecule: long non-coding RNA, 218 nt
Filed under: Canis lupus familiaris (dog)
Lineage: Eukaryota; Metazoa; Chordata; Mammalia; Carnivora; Canidae
Description: lncRNA (ENSCAFG00000038294.3, ENSCAFG00845009479.1)
Source: RNAcentral